Long non-coding RNA from Camellia sinensis, 824 nucleotides. RefSeq lists it as uncharacterized. Lineage: Eukaryota; Viridiplantae; Streptophyta; Magnoliopsida; Ericales; Theaceae. The record is from RefSeq and is a predicted model, not a curated record.
UUCACUCAUAUUUCCUCAAAUCUCCGAUCGCAGAUGAUGAUGAUGAUGAACGUAGAACGGCGGCGCAGUUGGCGGCAGUGGGCGACGAGGUCGAAUGAUCUCGCUGUGGCCGUUGAUCUCAACGUUGGUCUCCGUCGAAGGAUCUAAAGAUGGCGUCGGCCAAUCUGAACUCUCUCUCUCUCUCUCCUCCAGCACCACUGCUGGUGAACUCUCUCUUUACUUUUUUUUGGGUAAGUAACUCUCUCUUUACUUGCUCUACUCUUCCUCCGUCGUCAAUGCCGACGAAGCUCCGACUUCCUAAGGUUUCUUCGUCUUCAAAACCCUAACCCUACCUUUACAUUUGCUUCGAUCAAAACCAGAGCCGAGACCUUGGCCAAAUUUCAGAAACCAGAAAUCAGAUUAAUGUCUUAAAUACGGCGAUGCCAAAGAUAUCGAACAACUCCUGAAAUACGGCGAGCGAUUGAGCGAGGUCAAAAACAAGUCUCAGAUGAUUACCGAAGCAUCAUUAGGCGGUCAAAAGCAAGAGCAUUAAGGCGAAGCAGUUAUCUGCACAACUCAUUUCUAGAUUCUUCAAAUUCUUCCCAGAGCUCUCGGACUUGGUUGUCGAUUCCCAUAUCGAUUUGUGCGAGGCAGAGGAGCUUGGGAUCUGUCCCAAAAUCACAUAUCGAUGUUGAAUCUGUGGAAGAUCUGCAAGAUUAGUAUUGAAGAUGGAGGCGAUGAGGUGGUUGAGGCACCAUCUGUUGAAAAACAACAGAUCUGUGGUUGUUAUUAUUAUUAAUUUUGUUAUUGUGAUGUGAAAUCAAUUUUUUUUAAUGUAAGUUUAG